This 465-nucleotide ribosomal RNA is filed under the name Vreelandella stevensii. RNAcentral describes it as "partial 16S ribosomal RNA". It matches the Rfam family "Bacterial small subunit ribosomal RNA", at positions 338 to 795 of the family's 1533-position model. Lineage: Bacteria; Pseudomonadati; Pseudomonadota; Gammaproteobacteria; Oceanospirillales; Halomonadaceae. The record is from RNAcentral.
CCUACGGGGGGCUGCAGUGGGGAAUAUUGGACAAUGGGGGCAACCCUGAUCCAGCCAUGCCGCGUGUGUGAAGAAGGCCCUCGGGUUGUAAAGCACUUUCAGUGAGGAAGAACGCCUGGUGGUUAAUACCCAUCAGGAAAGACAUCACUCACAGAAGAAGCACCGGCUAACUCCGUGCCAGCAGCCGCGGUAAUACGGAGGGUGCGAGCGUUAAUCGGAAUUACUGGGCGUAAAGCGCGCGUAGGUGGCUUGAUAAGCCGGUUGUGAAAGCCCCGGGCUCAACCUGGGAACGGCAUCCGGAACUGUCAAGCUAGAGUGCAGGAGAGGAAGGUAGAAUUCCCGGUGUAGCGGUGAAAUGCGUAGAGAUCGGGAGGAAUACCAGUGGCGAAGGCGGCCUUCUGGACUGACACUGACACUGAGGUGCGAAAGCGUGGGUAGCAAACAGGAUUGGAUACCCUUGUAGUC